UACGUAGGCAGCAAGCGUUGUUCGGAGUUACUGGGCGUAAAGGGUGCGUAGGCGGCUUUUUAAGUUUGGUGUGAAAUCUCCCGGCUCAACUGGGAGGGUGCGCCGAAUACUGAGAAGCUAGAGUGUGGGAGAGGAAAGUGGAAUUCCUGGUGUAGCGGUGAAAUGCGUAGAUAUCAGGAGGAACACCGGUGGUGUAAACGGCUUUCUGGACCAUAACUGACGCUGAGGCACGAAAGCGUGGGUAGCGAACAGG
This 253-nucleotide ribosomal RNA is filed under the name uncultured bacterium. RNAcentral's name for it is "partial 16S ribosomal RNA". It matches the Rfam family "Bacterial small subunit ribosomal RNA", at positions 524 to 776 of the family's 1533-position model. The record is from RNAcentral.